UACGUAGGGGGCAAGCGUUAUCCGGAUUUACUGGGUGUAAAGGGAGCGCAGACGGAACUGCAAGUCUGAUGUGAAAGCCCGGGGCUCAACCGCGGGACUGCAUCGGAUACUGUGGAUCUGGAGUGCCGGAGGGGCAAGCGGAAUUCCUGGUGUAGCGGUGAAAUGCGUAGAUAUCAGGAGGAACACCGGCGGCGAAGGCGGCUUGCUGGACGGCAACUGACGUUGAGGCUCGAAAGCGUGGGGAGCAAACAGGAUUAGAUACCCCGGUA
This 269-nucleotide ribosomal RNA is filed under the name uncultured prokaryote. RNAcentral's name for it is "partial 16S ribosomal RNA". It matches the Rfam family "Bacterial small subunit ribosomal RNA", at positions 524 to 792 of the family's 1533-position model. The record is from RNAcentral.